Molecule: ribosomal RNA, 496 nt
Filed under: uncultured bacterium
Lineage: Bacteria
Description: partial 16S ribosomal RNA
Rfam family: Bacterial small subunit ribosomal RNA
Source: RNAcentral
AUGCACGCUUGCGGCGUGCCUCAUACCUGCAAGUCGCGCCCACGGACGAGAAGCUUGCUUCUCUGAUGUUAGCGGCGGACGGGUGAGUAACACGUGGAUAACCUACCUAUAAGACUGGGAUAACUUCGGGAAACCGGAGCUAAUACCGGAUGAUAUUUUGAACCGCAUGGUUCAAAAGUGAAAGACGGUCUUGCUGUCACUUAUAGAUGGAUCCGCGCUGCAUUAGCUAGUUGGUAAGGUAACGGCUUACCAAGGCAACGAUGCAUAGCCGACCUGAGAGGGUGAUCGGCCACACUGGAACUGAGACACGGUCCAGACUCCUACGGGAGGCAGCAGUAGGGAAUCUUCCGCAAUGGGCGAAAGCCUGACGGAGCAACGCCGCGUGAGUGAUGAAGGUCUUCGGAUCGUAAAACUCUGUUAUUAGGGAAGAACAUAUGUGUAAGUAACUGUGCACAUCUUGACGGUACCUAAUCAGAAAGCCACGGCUAACUACGUG